Molecule: long non-coding RNA, 375 nt
Organism: Dreissena polymorpha
Lineage: Eukaryota; Metazoa; Mollusca; Bivalvia; Myida; Dreissenidae
Exons: 2
Source: RefSeq, a predicted model, not a curated record
CUCGUGACGUCAUGUUUUGGCAAGAACGUGAAACUGUACAACAUCACAAAUGGCUGCAUUGACGACAUAAUAAAAGCUGGGCACAAGAAGGAGAUCUACCAAGUUGUGGUGAACGAUCCGGGAACGCUCGCUGCAGUGACGGUAGUUUUUGGACCUGUAGUGUUGAUGGACCUUGUCACUCACUCUCGCAUGUAUGAGAUCUCAAACAGUACGUUCAGGAGAUGCGAAAGUAUCUUUACCUCUAAAAAUUAAACAUACGUUGGAAUUUCGCGGCAUAUAUCGUACAAUAUAUUUCAAUGUUAACGGCGUCUCUUUUUCUGUGUACGCAUUGCAUACUAGCAUAACAUAUACUAUCAAUAAAGCGCACUUUGCGAA